CUGGGAACAUCAUGGCUGUGUGUAAGAAAUGAACAUAACAGGAGGGUUAACUUUAAAAACCACACGCGCUUGCCGCUUUUAAAGACCUCACGCGCUUACCGCGCGUACUUGUGCAUUUUACCGUUAAACGGACUAGCGUUAACACAAAGAGGGAUUGAGGAUGUUUGUCUACGUUAAAUAUCUAGACGACGGGUGUAAAGAGAUAGUCCCGUCUUCUAAUAUAAAGGACUUUGACAACGUAGGUAAUGGUAUUAAGACAAUUUACUGGGUGCGCUGGCAGGAGGAAUUCUUCAAGGCUCAGAUAUUGCUUCUGAAGGGUAAGUCAUACAUCUCACGCAUUUCAUUAAUUAACACCAGUUCAUUAAUACGGCCACAAUCCCAUUUAACCAUUAGUCCCAAUAUCUCCUGUUCGUAGCCUCUAAAUGGUUUGCGAACCUUAAAAUGCUAUACAAGCUACUCUUAAUACAGUUAAUGAUAAGUUAACUCUUUUAAGUACUUGCAUGCAGUGUCAUUUCCAGAGUCAAGAGAAGAAAUUGAGCAGGAGCUCGGAGGCUGCUGAAGGAGACGUCGCCGGCCACGCCCCCAUCCGAGAGAAGCGAAGCCAAAGCAGCGCAUACAAAUCAGAAAAAAGCAGUUGCAGAAGCCAAAAAAAACAACAACCUCCUGGCAAUUCUUCAAGAAAGAAAAAUUCGGAAAAGAAAUUCUCCAAUGUGCCCAACUCCCUUAAAGAAAGUCAGGGAGCGCAUCCUCUCUGACAGUUUCUCAGAGGAUGGUGAUGACAACGAUUAUGGUGGGGUUGUGCCAGAGAAGCUUUUGAAUGAGGCAAAACAACAACUCUACCAAAAUAAAUUUAAGGAAAUGUCCCUGCAACUGCAGGAAACAAGAAAACAAUUACCUUGGAAGGAGACAUCACUAUUAGGAACGAGACCUGGGUCAGAAUUACAAGGAACAACCGCGACUCCUUAUUUGUGAAGGAAUUGGCAGUGGCAAUCUGGGGCACUGAAACCCUGGGGGGAAAAAGCCUUACUGGGAAGGAGUGCCCCACCACCAAAACCACCCGACAGCCUUUAACCCCAAAGAAGCUGCAAACAUUGAAAGUCUGCUUCAAGGAGUCGCUACAGAAAAAAAACCUGGGGGAGACUGAGUUGCAGUCCAGAUGGGCAAAGGCUGGUCGUUACAUAACAGAAAAAAUUGUGGACAUAAACAAACAAACAAAAAAAACCGCUUAAUUAAUGAGUGACUGAAAUAUUUUAAGUUUUGAUGAUGUUUUAAUAGUUAAUUCUAAAUAGUUAGUAUUUGUUUGUUUCUCUGUGUUAAUAUUGUUACCAUGUUCUUUAUUAUAUGUCUGUCCUCUUUAAUAAAUGUUUUGAAAACC
Long non-coding RNA from Cyclopterus lumpus (lumpfish), 1375 nucleotides. RefSeq lists it as uncharacterized. The record is from RefSeq and is a predicted model, not a curated record. NCBI's taxonomy places the organism in Eukaryota, Metazoa, Chordata, Actinopteri, Perciformes, Cyclopteridae. The transcript has 4 exons.